GUCGUCUCUAAUCAAGGGCACUGCUUCUAAUCGUCCUUUGGACAAUUCAUGUCAUCUGACCUCAAAUCAGGUAGGACUACCCGCUGAACUUAAGCAUAUCAAUAAGCGGAGGAAAAGAAACUAACAAGGAUUCCCCUAGUAACGGCGAGUGAAGCGGGAAGAGCUCAAAUUUGUAAUCUGGCGGCCUCUGGCCGUCCGAGUUGUAGUCUGGAGAAGUGUUUUCUGUGCCGGACCGUGUACAAGUCCCUUGGAACAGGGCGUCAUAGAGGGUGAGAAUCCCGUCUCUGACACGGACUACCGGUGCUUUGUGAUGCGCUCUCGAAGAGUCGAGUUGUUUGGGAAUGCAGCUCAAAAUGGGUGGUAAAUUCCAUCUAAAGCUAAAUAUUGGCGAAAGACCGAUAGCGAACAAGUACCGUGAGGGAAAGAUGAAAAGCACUUUGGAAAGAGAGUUAAACAGUACGUGAAAUUGUUGAAAGGGAAACGCUUGAAGUCAGUCGCGUCUGGUGGGACUCAGCCUUACUUCUGUAUGGUGCAUUUCCUAUUUGACGGGCCAGCAUCGAUUUCGGUCACUGGAGAAAGGUGGGGGGAACGUGGCACCCUCGGGUGUGUUAUAGCCCUCUAUCGUAUGCAGUGAUUGGGAUCGAGGAUCGCAGCACGCCUUAACGGUCGGGGUUCGCCCACGUAACGUGCUUAGGAUGCUGGCGUAAUGGCUUUAAGCGACCCGUCUUGAAACACGGACCAAGGAGUCUAACAUGCCUGCGAGUGUUUGGGUGUCAAACCCGGACGCGAAAUGAAAGUGAACAGUUGGGACCUCUGUCGUGGAGGGCACCGACGCCCGGACCAGACCUUCUGUGACGGUUCCGAGGUAGAGCAUGUAUGUUGGGACCCGAAAGAUGGUGAACUAUGCCUGAGUAGGGUGAAGCCAGAGGAAACUCUGGUGGAGGCUCGUAGCGAUUCUGACGUGCAAAUCGAUCGUCGAACUUGGGUAUAGGGGCGAAAGACUAAUCGAACCAUC
RNAcentral lists this ribosomal RNA (1015 nucleotides) under Clavariadelphus sp. RNAcentral describes it as "eukaryotic LSU rRNA". It matches the Rfam family "Eukaryotic large subunit ribosomal RNA", at positions 1 to 944 of the family's 3401-position model. Lineage: Eukaryota; Fungi; Basidiomycota; Agaricomycetes; Gomphales; Clavariadelphaceae. The record is from RNAcentral.